CUUUUUUAUUGUCCCUCCACAUAACACUAUCACAUGUAACACCCAGACCAGCAGAGAAGGAACACAACGCAGAUAAUUAACACAACAUCGACAUCACCAGCAGGCUGUUGGGGGAAGUUACCUUGGCCAGUGACGCCGUCAGUAGUGAAGAUGUCAGUAAAGGCCUGUGGCAGUUGUCCAUGAUGAUCUGGAUGACCUUCCAUGUGUGUCCUGGGUCCAAGGUAUCAGAGUGACAGGUCGGUGAUAGAGUCCUCGUUUUUGCUCCCAUCAUGAUAUUGCUUGAUGCUACGUAUCUUGCCUGGAGUAUUGGAUCUACCAUCUAUGACUACAGCAACAAAAAUCAAGAUCAGGAGCAAAUGAAGAAGCUGAAUGCGUUCUUAAUGAUUCAGCAGAACCAACUUCAGGUGCAAGGGAACCUCAUUGAACACCAACAGAAAACUAUUAACAUGAUGUUUGUUCUACUGAUGAUCACCUUAGUACUGCUGAUCGUGUGUCUGCUGCUGUUAAUAAGCAUCUUCAAAUAUCUUAUCAUAGAUUCGUCGCCGUUGAACAUUGUUAAACGCUAUCAUUAGCAGAUUCAUUUUGAUAUAUACAUAAGCUUAUGUAUAAGCUAUAUACUUUCUGUUCUCUCACUCUUUUAUUCUCUCUUUUUUGAUGUUAUGAACAAAAGAAUUAUAAGCAGUGGUGUUGUGAUGUUACCAAGAAACUACAAAGAAACAUAAACUAAAGAGUGAUAGUUAUAUUAAUGACAUGGUAUUAUGCUAUAGAAAAUAAUUGAUAAAAUGUAUCAAUGAGUUCAUUAAUUAAAUGUCUGAUUAUUCGGAUUUAGGAAAUCAAUGGUUCCUAUUGUAGGAUUGUUGUGACAUACGAGUUUUCUACAGAUUAUAACACUUUCCUUUCUGUGAGUACAAACGCUUUGGAACUGGGGUUUUACCGCUGGAUCAAAUCUAACCUCAAACAUAAAUUACAAAUGGAUCAUAUGAGCUUUUUGUGAAUCGCUUUAUUUUAGCAGGCUGGAGAUUCUUAGUGCAGUGGUAGGAACCCUCAGAUAGCUUUUAUUAAGAUAUGGAAAGUGUCAUGAUACACGUACACACACACACACACACACACACACACCAGCAGCUGGGCACACUAUGGAGUCAGAUCGGUGUCAAAACUCACAAAUAAAUGUCACACAAUAUGAAUAAACCGCUC
This is a long non-coding RNA of Clarias gariepinus (North African catfish), 1194 nucleotides long. RefSeq lists it as uncharacterized. The transcript is spliced from 3 exons. The record is from RefSeq and is a predicted model, not a curated record. NCBI's taxonomy places the organism in Eukaryota, Metazoa, Chordata, Actinopteri, Siluriformes, Clariidae.